This is a long non-coding RNA of Equus quagga, 389 nucleotides long. RefSeq lists it as uncharacterized. The transcript has 4 exons. The record is from RefSeq and is a predicted model, not a curated record. Lineage: Eukaryota; Metazoa; Chordata; Mammalia; Perissodactyla; Equidae.
GCCUGGCUGGGCUGUGGUGGGAGCUCCCUGCGGGCCUCCGUCGUGUCUUUGCAUAUGCAGGAAUCUCCCGGAACCCUUGAGAGCUGUCAUGCCCACCUGCUGCCGCUCGUUCCUGGCUGCUGGCAAAGACCGCUGUAGCCCACUUGGGUAUGUGAUAUACUUGACCUGGGAAGGACAGAAGGUUUGACUGUGCAGAUCCCUCAUCCAGACCAGAGCAUCUGCACCAGGUGUGAUGACAGCAUCCUCUGCAAGUUGUAAAAGUUGCACAGUGAUGGUCCCGAGGGAGGAGGCUCCUGGCUCUGGUUCAGGGCUGAAGUGUCUUCAUUUGCUUGACCUUUGUCUUAUGGUUACAAAUGGCGACUAGAACUUCAGGCAAGAGCUACACAUUC